RNAcentral lists this ribosomal RNA (236 nucleotides) under uncultured bacterium. RNAcentral describes it as "partial 16S ribosomal RNA". It matches the Rfam family "Bacterial small subunit ribosomal RNA", at positions 100 to 334 of the family's 1533-position model. The record is from RNAcentral.
CCGGCACGGGUGAGUAACACGUAUCCAACCUGCCGUCUACUCUUGGACAGCCUUCUGAAGGAAGAUUAAUACAAGAUGGCAUCAUGAGUUCACAUGUUCACAUGAUUAAAGGUAUUCCGGUAGACGAUGGGGAUGCGUUCCAUUAGAUAGUAGGCGGGGUAACGGCCCACCUAGUCUUCGAUGGAUAGGGGUUCUGAGAGGAAGGUCCCCCACAUUGGAACUAAGACACGGUCCAA